This 562-nucleotide ribosomal RNA is filed under the name Saccharomyces cerevisiae (brewer's yeast). Its description in RNAcentral is "partial large subunit ribosomal RNA". It matches the Rfam family "Eukaryotic large subunit ribosomal RNA", at positions 50 to 625 of the family's 3401-position model. Lineage: Eukaryota; Fungi; Ascomycota; Saccharomycetes; Saccharomycetales; Saccharomycetaceae. The record is from RNAcentral.
GCGGAGGAAAAGAAACCAACCGGGAUUGCCUUAGUAACGGCGAGUGAAGCGGCAAAAGCUCAAAUUUGAAAUCUGGUACCUUCGGUGCCCGAGUUGUAAUUUGGAGAGGGCAACUUUGGGGCCGUUCCUUGUCUAUGUUCCUUGGAACAGGACGUCAUAGAGGGUGAGAAUCCCGUGUGGCGAGGAGUGCGGUUCUUUGUAAAGUGCCCUCGAAGAGUCGAGUUGUUUGGGAAUGCAGCUCUAAGUGGGUGGUAAAUUCCAUCUAAAGCUAAAUAUUGGCGAGAGACCGAUAGCGAACAAGUACAGUGAUGGAAAGAUGAAAAGAACUUUGAAAAGAGAGUGAAAAAGUACGUGAAAUUGUUGAAAGGGAAGGGCAUUUGAUCAGACAUGGUGUUUUGUGCCCUCUGCUCCUUGUGGGUAGGGGAAUCUCGCAUUUCACUGGGCCAGCAUCAGUUUUGGUGGCAGGAUAAAUCCAUAGGAAUGUAGCUUGCCUCGGUAAGUAUUAUAGCCUGUUGGGAAUACUGCCAGCUGGGACUGAGGACUGCGACGUAAGUCAAGGAUG